Molecule: long non-coding RNA, 3062 nt
Organism: Hippocampus zosterae (dwarf seahorse)
Lineage: Eukaryota; Metazoa; Chordata; Actinopteri; Syngnathiformes; Syngnathidae
Exons: 2
Source: RefSeq, a predicted model, not a curated record
AUAUAUAUGAAUGUGUAUACAGGUACAUAUAUAUGUGUCCAGUAUAUUUGUGUACUGUAUGUACAUGUAUUUAUGUCUGCAUGUCAAGUAUGAUUGAGCAUUGUUUAAAACAAUGUUUAAAAACUGAGCAGAAUAAUUUCAGUAUUGGACUAAAACUGUGUAUUCCCACCUCAAGUGAACCAAGAUCAAAUGAGAGACAUAAAAUGCUCCUUCAUUUUGGGGUUGUUCAAGACCAGAACAUUACAGUGAACAUGCAUAGACUUAAGAUCAUUAUUGCUUAUCUUGCUUUUACCUGUAAAUACCUAAUCAAUAUAACAGCACAGGGAAAUGGUGCAUAACGGUGUCCGUGCAAACGCCUUGGCUGCACUUUAUCGAGCGAGGCAUGUUGGCACGUGCUUGCAACUUCUUGAUCAGCUUUGAAUGUAGCCCUGAGUUCUGACUCAAUGCCAGCAUCACACACCUUCACGUCAAAUGUACGCACGCACAUUAUGCAAAUGAUCUACUUAGCCAGCACAUGGGAUUCAAGUACUUUGGAUUGAAACAAGACACUCCGAAAAGACUGCAGUUGACUGACAGACUGAGGAAGUGCAUGGAUGUAUUUUAAGCACAAAUACUGUACAGUUUGUCACCGAUGGUGCAGGAUCAAAUUCCAAGGUGUAAAGUGACUUCAAUUAGUUGUAACCACACUGAGUUAUGAUGUUGUAAAUGUUGCAUGAUGACGUCACAAUUCUGUAUAAAACGGGCUCCUAUCGUUUAGCAAGUGUCUAUUUAGCUAAUGGAAGAUUUGGUAACAAGUGUGUGCCCCGUACGGCAGAAUCUCCUAAGUUAAACGGCACGUUGAAGCCUGCAACAUUUGGAGUUCAUGAAUUUUCAACAGUUUGAAGCUUGAAGUGAAAUCAGAACCCAGUGAGGAGUGCAAAGAAGUCUGUGGUCCCACAUUGAAGCGAAGGUCACUGCCAGAGAAGGAAUCCGACAGCCAAGCCUGAUGAGUUGCACAAAUGAGCAGGGUGUUGCCAAAACAUAAGCCGGAAAGAAGCCACCAUUGGAGGUGGACACCAAGCUGUGACAGGUGAAGCAGAAAAGGAGGAACAAAAUCCACCAUAACAUGGCAGAUGGAAAAAGUAGGAUCACCUGAGCCAACAGGAUGGAAGCUGACGACUGAACAGCUCAAAAUGGUGACAGAAGUCCCAGGCAGCAGGAAUUAACUGCACCAAGGCUAGGGAAAGCCUUCAUGGGCUUUGCCUUCGGCCACAGUGAUGGGAUGGAUCCUGGAAGUGAUUAACCAUUUAAAACUAAAAAGAGAAUUUUCCAAUGGAGCAGCUCCCAAAUGUGCCAAUGUCCUCUGCUUCCGGAAUGGUGAUGAAAUUGAAGUUUAGUUCUUAGGAUAUUUUUACUGUGCGUAAAUAAAUGUAUAUGUGCAAUGUCUUGUGAGUUAACAUUUCUAAUAGUGAUUGUGACAGCUCAUGUAACAAAUGAGAUGCAUGAGGUGCGUCAUUUAUUUUUAGGGAUAUAAACUAGAGCUGGUGUAGCUCCUUUGAGGUAAUAUUUUGUGUCAUCUCUUUCUCUCGCUGCACCGACCACUGCAGCUGAAUAGCAAUCACUGACACCAGAGUAGAUGAGAAGAGGAGGAGGAGGGGGCAAAGGGAAGUAAGACAGCAGUGAGCAAAAGAGCGAGUGAGAGAGAGAAAGGCAAAAGAUAUGAGGAGGGAGGUGGAAUGUCAAGCUAACAGUCAGUGCCGCAUUAUCAGCCAAAGUGUGAAGGAGGAGGAAGGUGAGGACGGGUGGGAUCUGCAGGAGGAUGCGCGAAGGCUUCCUGGGGGAGGCUGACGAGCCGCCGUAACAUAGGUAACACUUCUGUGCAUGUCUGAUUGUGACAAGUAACAUUGUGAGUCUGUGAGGCAAUUUAAAGCUUCUGUCUGCACACGUGCUAGGCGCCGCAGGCCCUCAUGCAUUCCGGUUGUUGAUUAUCUGUGUGGCUGUCACUGUCUCUUGUGAUAUUGUCGGGCCUUUCUGUGACUAAAAUGCCUGCCGCUUCAAUCUCUGCGAUACAGAGUGUAACUGUGAAUCUUGAGUGACAAGUGAGCGUAGCCAGUAGAAUGUAUUCUGUCUCCACCUGACCCAGAUACAGCACCGCGCUUGCAUUGUCUAAUGUAUUGGUGGGCAGCCUACGGCAUGUGGGCCCUUUAUGGCCUCUCUCCAGAGGAUUUGAUACACGUUGCCAUGCAAUUCUAAAAACUAUUAAAGCAGCGAUGAAGGGGCCCCCAAAUCCCCACGCCCAAUUUGGCUGGGUGGAUUUUUCAUGGCUAUUUCUCGAACCAUUCAUCAUUCUCCCCCCACGCGCGAUGAGCAAAGCUCCAAAAUGUGCCCAUUUCUCCUGUAUACUUGGUUCACAUAUGUUUACAGUGGGGUGAACACACAAGGAGGAGUUUUAAGUACAGUCACCGUAGCCAAAAUGGCUGACUUUCUGUUGACGCGUGUUCGCAGUUGCCGAACAAAUCUGGUCUGUUAUGGAAGGCCUUUUGUUUUUACUCACUGAUGUCACUGCUGUGUUGUUGUUGGUGUCCAGGACGCUAAAGUACAUGAAGUUUCAAUAGGAUGCAAUCAGCGACCAUAUUUUGGUAUAUUUAAUAUAUAACUGGGGACCGUAAUAAUAAUGAAAACAUGGCCGGGCAACAAAAAUAAAAACUCUGAAAAAUUGUGGCCAAAAAAUAAAAAGAUUUAUUGCAGCAUACAUUUUCACACAUUUUGCAUGGAAAACAUGUAUUUUGGAAAGGGAAAAAGUCGAGCUGCAAAAGGCACCUGUUUUUAUCCAUCUCUCAUUUACCACUUGCCAAAUCAAAAUGACAUCACAGUGCUUCCGGGCUCAUGAGCAAAACCAGUAAACAGGUGAGCCAUGACGGUUGCUACUUUCUACUUUUUGGGAAUACUUUGUACAAGAUGUAUGGUUUUCGUGGGACUUUUGGUCCAUUCAAUGAAUUGUGAUUUCAGUAAUGUACCGAAGAGAGGGUCUAGCCGUUAGGAACUGCACCAUUGUGGUUGGCGCCCCAACGGUCUGGGCUUCA